UUUAGCUCAGCGGUCAGAGCACUUGCCUUAUAAGCAAGCGGUCACAGGUUCGAUUCCUGUAAGGC
This 65-nucleotide transfer RNA is filed under the name bovine gut metagenome. It matches the Rfam family "tRNA", at positions 6 to 65 of the family's 71-position model. Rfam says of the family: Transfer RNA (tRNA) molecules are approximately 80 nucleotides in length. The record is from RNAcentral.